CGCCCAUAAUAAAUUCUACCACCAACUAAUCACCUCAAAUCCCAAGACCUAAAGUGACAAAACUACCCUCCACACCAUCAACAAUCCAAAAACCAAACCUAUCCCAAAGCAAGAGGGCAAUCCGGGAAACAAGAGACUACACAGAAAGAAAUUCAACACGCCGUCUUUAUACCUUUCUAGGGCUAGGGUUCUUUUCUUUGGCAGAAGGAAUUUAUUCCCUAUUUGUAAUUUCAUUUGGAUUCACUAUUUGAGCUCUUAUAAAUCAGACGGUCACAAACAGCUGGCUUUGGGGUUUGGUGUUGGUGAUUGGUUUAAUCUGAUCGCUUUCUCUCUGGGCUUUAGCGCCCUCUGGCGGUUGAAAUCCAUGAUCAUCAGCGUCUCAUGGAACCCUCUCCAGUGCGCACCACUCCUCCAGUUGAAGAAGAUGAUGAAUGGGACACUGAUGGAUUCGUGAUUCCAAGCUUGGGAAUAGGAGACCCGGGUGAAAGUAAACCUGGUGGUGUAGAAGAGGAAACAUCUAAACCUCCUUCUCCAAAGGU
Long non-coding RNA from Pistacia vera, 539 nucleotides. RefSeq lists it as uncharacterized. NCBI's taxonomy places the organism in Eukaryota, Viridiplantae, Streptophyta, Magnoliopsida, Sapindales, Anacardiaceae. The transcript has 2 exons. The record is from RefSeq and is a predicted model, not a curated record.